This 100-nucleotide ribosomal RNA is filed under the name uncultured bacterium. RNAcentral describes it as "partial 16S ribosomal RNA". It matches the Rfam family "Bacterial small subunit ribosomal RNA", at positions 1383 to 1482 of the family's 1533-position model. The record is from RNAcentral.
UUACACACCGCCCGUCACACCAUGGGAGUUGAUUGCACCAGAAGUAGGUAGCCUAACCGCAAGGGGGGCGCUUACCACGGUGUGGUCAAUGACUGGGGUG